GGAAGUAAAAGUCGUAACAAGGUCUCCGUAGGUGAACCUGCGGAGGGAUCAUUACUGAGUGAGGGCCUCUGGCCCGACCUCCAACCCCAUGUUAUCUGACACUGUUGCCUCCGGGGCGACCCGGCCUGCCUUCGGGCGUUUCGGGGCCCCGGGUGGACCAUUCAACUCUGCAUCUUUGCGUCUGAGUAAAUGAUUGAAUCAAUCAAAACUUUCAACAACGGAUCUCUUGGUUCUGGCAUCGAUGAAGAACGCAGCGAAAUGCGAUAAGUAAUGUGAAUUGCAGAAUUCAGUGAAUCAUCGAAUCUUUGAACGCACAUUGCGCCCCUUGGUAUUCCGAGGGGCAUGCCUGUUCGAGCGUCAUUACACCACUCAAGCCUCGCUUGGUAUUGGGCGCCGCGGUCCGCCGCGCGCCUCAAUGUUUCCGGCUGAGCUCUCUGUCUCUAAGCGUUGUGGUUAAAACUAUCCGCUUGCGAGAUCGGGGGGCGUCUGGCCGUUAAACCAUUACUCAAAGGUUGACCUCGGAUCAGGUAGGGAUACCCGCUGAACUUAAGCAUAUCAAUAAGCGGAGGA
Molecule: ribosomal RNA, 570 nt
Filed under: Neocatenulostroma germanicum
Lineage: Eukaryota; Fungi; Ascomycota; Dothideomycetes; Mycosphaerellales; Teratosphaeriaceae
Description: eukaryotic LSU rRNA
Rfam family: 5.8S ribosomal RNA (bases 207-360)
Source: RNAcentral